Molecule: ribosomal RNA, 505 nt
Filed under: uncultured bacterium
Lineage: Bacteria
Description: bacterial SSU rRNA
Rfam family: Bacterial small subunit ribosomal RNA
Source: RNAcentral
UGCAAGUCGAGGGGUAACGGAAGUAGCUUGCUACUAGACGACGACCGGCGCACGGGUGAGUAACGCGUAUGUAAUCUGCCUUGUACAGAGGGAUAGCCCAGAGAAAUUUGGAUUAAUACCUCAUAGUAUUACUGAAUCGCAUGAUUUGGUAAUUAAAGCUCCGGCGGUACAAGAUGAACAUGCGUGACAUUAGCUAGUUGGUAAGGUAACGGCUUACCAAGGCCACGAUGUCUAGGGGUUCUGAGAGGAUGAUCCCCCACACUGGUACUGAGACACGGACCAGACUCCUACGGGAGGCAGCAGUGAGGAAUAUUGGUCAAUGGACGCAAGUCUGAACCAGCCAUCCCGCGUGAAGGAUGACUGCCCUAUGGGUUGUAAACUUCUUUUAUAUGCAAAUAAACCUACUUUCGUGAAAGUAGCUGAAGGUAGCAUAUGAAUAAACACCGGCUAACUCCGUGCCAGCAGCCGCGGUAAUACGGAGGGUGUAAGCGUUAUCCGGAUUUAU